This 506-nucleotide ribosomal RNA is filed under the name uncultured bacterium. RNAcentral's name for it is "partial 16S ribosomal RNA". It matches the Rfam family "Bacterial small subunit ribosomal RNA", at positions 30 to 523 of the family's 1533-position model. The record is from RNAcentral.
AUUGAACGCUGGCGGCAGGCUUAACACAUGCAAGUCGAGCGGUAACAGAGAGAAGCUUGCUUCUCUGCUGACGAGCGGCGGACGGGUGAGUAAUGCCUAGGAAUCUGCCUAGUAGUGGGGGAUAACUUGCCGAAAGGUAAGCUAAUACCGCAUACGUCCUACGGGAGAAAGGAGGGGACCUUCGGGCCUUUCGCUAUUAGAUGAGCCUAGGUCGGAUUAGUUAGUUGGUGAGGUAAUGGCUCACCAAGCACGCGAUCCGUAACUGGUCUGAGAGGAUGAUCAGUCACACUGGAACUGAGACACGGUCCAGACUCCUACGGGAGGCAGCAGUGGGGAAUAUUGGACAAUGGGGGGAACCCUGAUCCAGCCAUGCCGAGUGUGUGAAGAAGGUCUUAGGAUUGUAAAGCACUUUAAGUUGGGAGGAAGAGCAGUUAACUAAUAUUUGACUGUUUUGACGUUACCGACAGAAUAAGCACCGGCUAACUUCGUGCCAGCCGCCGCCGUAA